AGAGUUUGAUUCUGGCUCAGGAUGAACGCUGGCGGCGUGCCUAAUACAUGCAAGUCGAGCGAACCACUUCGGUGGGAAGCGGCGAACGGGUGAGUAACACGUAGGUGAUCUGCCCAUCAGACGGGGACAACGAUUGGAAACGAUCGCUAAUACCGGAUAGGACGAAAGUUUAAAGAUGCUCCUGGCAUCACUGAUGGAUGAGCCUGCGGCGCAUUAGCUAGUUGGUGGGGUAAAGGCCUACCAAGGCGACGAUGCGUAGCCGACCUGAGAGGGUGAACGGCCACACUGGGACUGAGACACGGCCCAGACUCCUACGGGAGGCAGCAGUAGGGAAUCUUCGGCAAUGGGCGAAAGCCUGACCGAGCAACGCCGCGUGAAUGAAGAAGGCCUUCGGGUUGUAAAAUUCUGUUAUAAGGGAAGAAAGGUGAUAGGAGGAAAUGACUAUCAAUUGACGGUACCUUAUGAGAAAGCCACGGCUAACUACGUGCCAGCAGCCGCGGUAAUACGUAGGUGGCAAGCGUUAUCCGGAAUUAUUGGGCGUAAAGAGCGCGCAGGUGGUUAAUUAAGUCUGAUGUGAAAGCCCACGGCUUAACCGUGGAGGGUC
Molecule: ribosomal RNA, 604 nt
Filed under: uncultured bacterium
Lineage: Bacteria
Description: bacterial SSU rRNA
Rfam family: Bacterial small subunit ribosomal RNA
Source: RNAcentral